CCCUUUGCUACUAAUAUUAGUAUUUACAGUAGCAUGGACUCAAACUUUUAGGACUUUUAGUUUCUACUCGAACCACGGUGCAACGUUUCUUUUUGACAGAAAUUUUGUUUUGUUUUGUUUUCGGAUCAGUCAGUCGUAAUUUCGGAAUGUUUCGAUUCCGUUUUACCAUUAAAAGUUGUGCGCCGUGUGUUGUUUGCCGUUCAGAGAGAGUUCAUCACAUAAUGCUCCGAAACCUACCUGUCCGGCCGGAUACGCUUCAAACGAUUUUCGAUGGUAGUGGAGGAUGGAACCAUCAAAAUGUUGAAUACGAUGGUCCUUCUCUUUGCCGAUUCCCGUAGACUUUUCAUGUUGGCCGUUUAGGUGAAGCUCCAGCGGAUGGUUUGUUUUGGUUUGAAACAAUUUUAAGUGGAAGCAGAAUUUUGUUUGGUAAGUGCGAUAAAUAAUUGAAAUUGAGCUUAAAAGAAAAAUAAUUUAGCUUUGUUUUCCAGGUUUCACUAUUUCUGAAGUCAUUCGAAAAGAAGCGACUGUUUCCAAAGUUCGAUAGAGUUGCCACUUCCAGCGAAAACACAUCUCCAGUUGAAGAGCUACUCACAAGGUCAUCCGGUAGCCGCGACAACGUAGUAUAGUUUUGCCCUGAAAUCUGCCCCAAGAUUACGGAAGCCGGUUCGAUCAAUGCCCUCAAAGUGGGCUCGGAAGUUAAUGCGGUUAAGGUCAUCAUUGAAUGUGGUUCAGCAGCCUUGGGCUGCCCUAUUGGAGUCAUGUACAAAAUUUGCUUUCAAUAAUCCUAUUUUGAUAACGUUGCUUUACACUAUCAAACGCACUGGAAAAAAGAAUGUCGUUGUUUGUUAUCAUGACCACUUUGACGACCGAUCUAGAAUUCACUAGAGGGAAAAGUUUUCAGUUUAUUCUGCGUGGUAAGUUUCUUUUCAAAUUAAUAAAAAUUUAAUUACUUCCAAACCGAACAUUUCACAUUUCAGGUCAGGUGAAGGAAAACGGUUGGAGAUUACGAAUUGUUGUUUGAGUUUGUUUUCUUGAUCGAAGAGAGCUCCAAAUUGGUCUGUAACGAACGACAAGAGAAAUUGAUACCACCAUCCAAAACAUUCGUGCAAAACAAAGUUACGAAGUAGGUUAAAACUGGAAGCAGACGCCGAAUGAAAAUUUCCAUACGAGGUGCAUUAAUUUGUUUUGAUAUAGGGACAUGCAGCUACACACGACUGUUCCGCCUGUCGGGGGGAAGCAGACAAUCAACCAUAUGCUGGUUUAACGAUUCUACAAAUUGACCGCGAAUGGCAGCGCUGAUGUCACUUAAUCCGAUGGCCCAGAAUGCAUUUUUAUCAAUGCCCAAGUGUUUUGUUUUGGAAUUGUCAAGUGAACUACAAUUAUCGAUAGUAAUUGCAUUAUUUGUUACCUCUCCUGGAAUAAGCUCCGGAUGAUGCCAACAUUGAAUCAAAACCCCACGGCGGAUACAUUUUAAGCACUGCGAUAAAAUGGGCAAUGUUUGUCUGAAGUAAAUUCAACAACUACGCAAGUGCAACGCGAUUUUUGUGAAGUUCGUGGUGAAUCCUUGGAACCGAUGGAAGAAAAAGUUCAAUAAUUUUCCGG
Molecule: long non-coding RNA, 1602 nt
Organism: Uranotaenia lowii
Lineage: Eukaryota; Metazoa; Arthropoda; Insecta; Diptera; Culicidae
Exons: 3
Source: RefSeq, a predicted model, not a curated record